UCCGGAAUUAUUGGGCGUAAAGAGCUUGUAGGCGGUUGGUCGCNUCUGCUGUGAAAGGCUGGGGCUUAACCCUGGUUUUGCAGUGGGUACGGGCUAACUAGAGUGCAGUAGGGGAGACUGGAAUUCCUGGUGUAGCGGUGGAAUGCGCAGAUAUCAGGAGGAACACCGAUGGCGAAGGCAGGUCUCUGGGCUGUAACUGACGCUGAGAAGCGAAAGCAUGGGGAGCGAACAGGGUUAGAUACCCUGGUAGUCCAUGCCGUAAACGUUGGGCACUAGGUGUGGGGGACAUUCCACGUUUUCCGCGCCGUAGCUAACGCAUUAAGUGCCCCGCCUGGGGAGUACGGCCGCAAGGCUAAAACUCAAAGGAAUUGACGGGGGCCCGCACAAGCGGCGGAGCAUGCGGAUUAAUUCGAUGCAACGCGAAGAACCUUACCAAGGCUUGACAUAUACUGGACUGCGUCAGAGAUGGCGUUUCCCUUCGGGGCUGAUAUACAGGUGGUGCAUGGUUGUCGUCAGCUCGUGUCGUGAGAUGUUGGGUUAAGUCCCGCAACGAGCGCAACCCUCGUUCUAUGUUGCCAGCACGUGAUGGUGGGGACUCAUAGGAGACUGCCGGGGUCAACUCAGAGGAAGGUGGGGAUGACGUCAAAUCAUCAUGCCCCUUAUGUCUUGGGCUUCACGCAUGCUACAAUGGCCGGUACAGAGGGUUGCGAUACUGUGAGGUGGAGCUAAUCCCUAAAAGCCGGUCUCAGUUCGGAUUGGGGUCUGCAACUCGACCCCAUGAAGUCGGAGUCGCUAGUAAUCGCAGAUCAGCAACGCUGCGGUGAAUACGUUCCCGGGCCUUGUACACACCGCCCGUCAAGUCACGAAAGUUGGUAACACCCGAAGCC
RNAcentral lists this ribosomal RNA (887 nucleotides) under uncultured bacterium. Its description in RNAcentral is "bacterial SSU rRNA". It matches the Rfam family "Bacterial small subunit ribosomal RNA", at positions 544 to 1428 of the family's 1533-position model. The record is from RNAcentral.